UACGUAGGGCGCAAGCGUUGUCCGGAAUUAUUGGGCGUAAAGAGCUCGUAGGCGGUCUGUCGCGUCUGGUGUGAAAUCCCAUGGCUCAACUGUGGGCUUGCAUCGGGUACGGGCAGACUAGAGUGCUGUAGGGGAGACUGGAAUUCCUGGUGUAGCGGUGGAAUGCGCAGAUAUCAGGAGGAACACCGAUGGCGAAGGCAGGUCUCUGGGCAGUUACUGACGCUGAGGAGCGAAAGCAUGGGGAGCGAACAGGAUUAGAUACCCUGGUAGUCCAUGCCGUAAACGUUGGGCACUAGGUGUGGGGCCAGUUCCACUGGUUCUGUGCCGCAGCUAACGCAUUAAGUGCCCCGCCUGGGGAGUACGGCCGCAAGGCUAAA
Molecule: ribosomal RNA, 377 nt
Filed under: uncultured bacterium
Lineage: Bacteria
Description: bacterial SSU rRNA
Rfam family: Bacterial small subunit ribosomal RNA
Source: RNAcentral